CUGACAGUCUCCAUUGUUCAAUGGUUAUAUCUCCAAAACUAUGUCUCUACAUCUGCACACAAAAUUCACGUGCUAAUUUUUGUUAUAAUAGCAAAUAAUGCAAACUUAACUUAUAGUUGCAUAUGACUUUGAGAGAGUGUUGGCCACUGUUCUUACUAGCUGCCUUUGUGCCCUGCAGAUUAUGAAUGAUGAAUGAAUAUAAACCGAGAGAGCAAGGUGGUCAGGAAGAUGCUCUUUUUUCACCCACCCAUCUUUUAGAGGGAGAUGUGAAUGAUGACAUGGAGCAGGAAAACAAACCGUACACUUGUCCUGAGGAAUUUACAGUCUCUACAGAUGAACAAUAUGCAGAAUCUGGAGGAACUGACACGCAUCCUUUUCACCAUCAAGCUCGUCCCUUACUCAAAGCAAUUCUUCAUAUACUGGAUCUGAACAGACCAAGUUUAGCAGAAAGGUCCCCAUAGCAGUACCUCAGAGGAGAAGUAAAAACAUUCCUCCUUCUCCACUCAUAUUCAAAAUAUGAGGGAAACAUGGAGGAAGUCAAAUAACAGGGAAAACCAAUGAGACUUCAGGAAGAGAAAAUAAGAUACGAGAAAAAGAAACAUCCCAGCUCCAGUUGGGGGGUUUUGGAGCCUUACCGACAAGGAAGAAGUCUAGCACUAUUUAAACAAGAUUGUUACAGUAACACCAUGGAAAACCAAUGACAACUACUUGCUUAAUGUGGAAUUAACCUAAAAGCACUAGUCUUCAAUGAGAAUGCCAGUCUGUGUCAGAGACUAACACAAGCAACCAUUUCAGUCAAAAGAGUUUAGUGCAAGAUUCACCUCAUCCUAACAUAAAUGCCCACAUUUGAUCAAAUGAAACUCUGUGGACUGUGUAGAUUUGAUCUCCCCAGCUACAGUGUUACCCAAGGUAGCUGGUUCAAUGUGGACAUCCGCACUGUGUAUCUCCAUAUUUAAUCAGAUGAAUGCCAAAUCUGACUCCAUUGGAUCCACUUGAAUAAUUGCAAUGAAACAGAUUACUUUUGAUGUUGAGUGUUAGAGCUAGUCAGGGAAGAAAACAGACUUAGAAAUGCAUAAUGAAAAAUUUGGAGUAGGAAAACAAAGACUUGGCAGCAGCACUCUAAACAGAACGAACAUACAUAAGAAAGGAGGAACAUCUGGAAUCCAGAAGAGAAUCU
Molecule: long non-coding RNA, 1177 nt
Filed under: Numida meleagris (helmeted guineafowl)
Lineage: Eukaryota; Metazoa; Chordata; Aves; Galliformes; Numididae
Description: lncRNA (ENSNMEG00000004780.1)
Source: RNAcentral